Sinocyclocheilus grahami is the source of this 238-nucleotide long non-coding RNA. RefSeq lists it as uncharacterized. Lineage: Eukaryota; Metazoa; Chordata; Actinopteri; Cypriniformes; Cyprinidae. The transcript has 3 exons. The record is from RefSeq and is a predicted model, not a curated record.
GCCACCUGUAUUUUAUCAUGAACUGGUAGUAGGUUUGUAGGUUAUUUCAGUUGCUUGCAGAUUCUUGUAUGUUCUUUUUAUUCCACGAGCUCUUGUAACCCUUCAGAAAAAUGACCAUGGUCAGGAGAACAGGUUUUAAAAAGCCUUGGAAUCACAAAUUUACAGAGAGCUGCAGGAGAUCGUGGAUUGCUGGAGCUGAACAGAUGGAUGGAGCGCACACCUUGCUAAAGGGUAAGUA